CCUACGGGUGGCUGCAGUCGAGAAUCAUUCACAAUGGGGGAAACCCUUAUGGUGCGACGCCGCGUGGGGGAAUGAAGGUCUUCGGAUUGUAAACCCCUGCCAUGUGGGAGCAAAUUAAAAAUAUAGUACCACAAGAGGAAGAGACGGCUAACUCUGUGCCAGCAGCCGCGGUAAUACAGAGGUCUCAAGCGUUGUUCGGAAUCACUGGGCGUAAGGCGUGCGUAGGCUGUUUCGGAAGUCGGUUGUGAAAGGCGCGGGCUCAACCCGCGGACGGCACAUGAUACUGCGAGACUAGAGUAAUGGAGGGGGAACCGGAAUUCUCGGUGUAGCAGUGAAAUGCGUAGAUAUCGAGAGGAACACUCGUGGCGAAGGCGGGUUCCUGGACAUUAACUGACGCUGAGGCACGAAGGCCAGGGGAGCGAAAGGGAUUAGAUACCCCAGUAGUC
RNAcentral lists this ribosomal RNA (446 nucleotides) under uncultured bacterium. Its description in RNAcentral is "partial 16S ribosomal RNA". It matches the Rfam family "Bacterial small subunit ribosomal RNA", at positions 338 to 795 of the family's 1533-position model. The record is from RNAcentral.